This 585-nucleotide long non-coding RNA is filed under the name Fukomys damarensis (Damara mole-rat). Its description in RNAcentral is "lncRNA (ENSFDAG00000031426.1)". Lineage: Eukaryota; Metazoa; Chordata; Mammalia; Rodentia; Bathyergidae. The record is from RNAcentral.
GGGAGCUGACGGGAGGGGGCGGUCUCUGCGUGCCCAUUGGCCUUUUCUAGGCGAGCGCUGGCGGUCUCGGGGCUCGGUCCUCCGAGACCGUGUUUGGCAGUUUCGCGUGGAGGGCGGUUUGUGUUCCGCGGCUGUGGCCGGAAGGCUCCAGAACGUCCCCAGGGCCUCUUGAGUCAUAACUUUGUCAUGUAAAGUGGGACUCUAUCCAGACUGGAGGCGCUGGGAGCGGCCCGCGUUGAAGCGGCCUUAGAGACCAUCAGCAGUUUCCGUUAGGGCCCGCGGCGCCUGCUGUGCGCGCCCGGCCCAGACGUCCAGAAGAGGGGUCCGGGCCUUGUGCGGGCCCCCUGGCUGCCAGCCCGAACUGGGAAGGCCUCUCGCGUGCCGUUCCAAGUUAGCAGCAUCUAUUCGAUGCCCAGCCUCAAAAAUCAAAUUUAUGUUCUUAGGCAGUCAGUAAUUGCUUGCCCGUGCGCUGUACAGAUGAACUCUCCAUUGUCUGAGGUAGCUUGGUGUAAGGGAAAAAAAUCUGGACAAAGGGGAGGAAGAAUCUCUUGGUAUCAACCAAAAGCCAUUCUGGAGAGUGGUUAA